Molecule: ribosomal RNA, 460 nt
Filed under: uncultured bacterium
Lineage: Bacteria
Description: partial 16S ribosomal RNA
Rfam family: Bacterial small subunit ribosomal RNA
Source: RNAcentral
CCUACGGGAGGCAGCAGUGAGGAAUAUUGGUCAAUGGCCGGAAGGCUGAACCAGCCAUGCCGCGUGAAGGUCAGUGCCCUAUGGGCGUUAAACUUCUUUUGUGCGGGAGCAAUAAUGGUCACGUGUGGCCAGACGAGAGUACCGUACGAAUAAGCAUCGGCUAACUCCGUGCCAGCAGCCGCGUUAAUACGGGGGAUGCAAGCGUUAUCCGGAGUUAUUGGGUUUAAAGGGUGCGUAGGCUGUGAGGUAAGUCAGCGGUGAAAUGCCCCCGCUCAACGGGGUGAAGUGCCAUUGAUACUGCCUGGCUGGAAUGCGGAUGCCGGGGGAGGAAUGUGUGGUGUAGCGGUGAAAUGCAUAGAUAUCACACAGAACACCGAUUGCGAAGGCAUCUCACGAAUCCGCGAUUGACGCUGAUGCACGAAAGCGUGGGUAUCAAACAGGAUUAGAUACCCGAGUAGUC